RNAcentral lists this ribosomal RNA (425 nucleotides) under uncultured prokaryote. Its description in RNAcentral is "bacterial SSU rRNA". It matches the Rfam family "Bacterial small subunit ribosomal RNA", at positions 355 to 796 of the family's 1533-position model. The record is from RNAcentral.
UAACGAAUAUUCCGCAAUGCGCGCAAGCGUGGCGGAGCAAUGCCGCGUGCAGGAUGAAGCCCUUCGGGGUGUAAACUGCUGUCAGGGGACAGGAACUCAAUGACCAUCCCCAAAGGAAGGGCCGGCUAACUUCGUGCCAGCAGCCGCGGUAAUACGAAGGGCUCGAGGGUUAAUCGGAAUCACUGGGCUUAAAGCGUACGCAGGCGGGCUUGAAGGCAUCUUGUGAAAUCCCUCGUCUCAACCGAGGAAUUGCAGGGUGAAUCAUGAGCCUUGAGGCAAGUAGGGGCUGUAGGAACGCUAGGUGGAGUGGUGAAAUGCGUUGAUAUCUAGCGGAACGCCGAAGGAGAAAUCAGACAGCUGGGCUUGUUCUGACGCUGAGGUACGAAAGCGUGGGGAGCGAACGGGAUUAGAUACCCCGGUAGUCC